Long non-coding RNA from Bubalus bubalis (water buffalo), 1587 nucleotides. RefSeq lists it as uncharacterized. The transcript has 4 exons. The record is from RefSeq and is a predicted model, not a curated record. NCBI's taxonomy places the organism in Eukaryota, Metazoa, Chordata, Mammalia, Artiodactyla, Bovidae.
GUCCCCCUGUGACAAGGCACCUGGGACUUGAGAGGACCCACCAGGAGCAAAGUCCAUUUAGAGCCACGGAAGGUCAAAGAAACACACCUGAGAGUCUGCGGAUAAAGAGCCAGGCUGCCCCACCAGGCUGCUCCAGGGCUGUUGCCGGAGACAGGAGGAAAGCAACUUGCCCAGAUCACCCUCACGUGUGUCUCCCUCCUUACUGUCAUCAAUAACCAUCUGAGAAGCUGCUGCCGGCCCAUGGACUGGAUGCUGCCAGAAGGUCCAUCUCCCCAGGACUGGGCCCUGGUGUGAAGGGCGCUGAAUACCGCCAGCUCAGCAUUCCUGCUGCUAACCUCGAUCUCUCCGCCCACCUGUGUCCCUGGAGUGCCCAGCAGUCUACACUCUUGCAGCAAACUGCUUUGCCGUUUGUCAAGUUCAUCCAUAAGGCUCUUUCACAGACGAGCUUCUGGAUCCCCAGGCUUCAUUCACGAGGCACCAAACUACAGUUGUCGGGAAAUGCCACAGGACAGAGUUUAGAUGAAGAUGCACCAUCCAGUCCUCAAGACUGCAUGAAGCAGCCCGUGGGUUCCUGGAGGUCUUCAAAAUCCCCCUGUUCAGCCCCAACCCAGGCCGACCAGAGGACCCCUCGCAGAGCAGCCCUGGGGUUUUCCCUGUUCAUUCCUUCUCAGAGUUUUUUUAUACUGUCGUCAGAGUAGAGUCUGCACCCUCCAAAUGGGUCAAGGAUUUCCCUGGUGGAAAAAUCCACUGCCCUCCAUCUGUGUGAUGAGCUCUGUCAUUCUGGCUUAGAGGUUCCUGGUGGCGCAGUGGAUUACUGGCUGUGACUCUGGGCAAUUUCCCCCAGCUCACUGUAUCUGUUUCCCUCCAUCUGUGUGAUGAGCUCUGUCAUUCUGGCUUAGAGGUUCCCUGGUGGCGCAGUGGAUAAGAAUCCACUGCCGGUGAAGGGGACGCAGAUUCGAUCCCUGGUCCCACAUGCUGCAACUAAACCCCGGUGCCACACUCACUGAGGCUGUGCUCUAGAGCCCACAAGCCACAACUCCUGCAGCCUGUAUGCUCUAGGGCCUGCGAGCCACAACUCCUGAGCCCGUGUGCAGCAGCUACUGAAGCCUGCUCACCCUGGAGCCUGUGCUCUGCAGUAAGAGAAGCUCCUGCAAAGAGAAGCCUCUGCACCACCACAGAGUGGCCCCCGUUCAUCGCAACUAGAGAAGGCCCCGAACAAAGCAACGAAGACCCAGUGCAGCCAAAAAUAAAGACAUUUUUUAAAAGCCUUUAAAAGAUGGGUCAAGAUACUCAUUGAGAAACCAUCGUGUCAUCCGCGUCAUCCCCACAAGUUCUUCCCAAUCGUGACAACUGCCCAUCACCCUCUCUCUCUCUCCCCCUCAGUCCCUCCAGGAGCUCAGGUAGAUUGAAGAGCAGGCCAGGCAUGAAGAUGGCCCACCAGGAGGCAGGGCUGAGCUUCCUCAUUGGAGCACUCUGGGUGUAAGUCGGGGUUGGCCAUUACUGGCUGUGACUCUGGGCAAUUUCCCCCAGCUCCCUGUACCUGUUUCCCUCCAUCUGUGUGAUGAGCUCUCUCAUUCUGGCUUAGAG